GUUAAGUGCGUGCCAGCGGCGGCGGUAAGACGAACCGGCCAAACGGUAUUCGGGAUUACUGGGCUUAAAGGGUGCGUAGGCGGCCUGACAAGUUGGGUGUGAAAUACCUCGGCUCAACCGAGGAAUGGCGCUCAAAACUGCCAGGCUUGAGGAAGAUAGAGGUGAGCGGAACUUAAGGUGGAGCGGUGAAAUGCGUUGAUAUCUUAAGGAACACCCGUGGCGAAAGCGGCUCACUGGAUCUUUUCUGACGCUGAUGCACGAAAGCUAGGGGAGCAAACGGGAUUAGAUACCCGAGUAGUC
This 300-nucleotide ribosomal RNA is filed under the name uncultured Propionibacterium sp. Its description in RNAcentral is "bacterial SSU rRNA". It matches the Rfam family "Bacterial small subunit ribosomal RNA", at positions 496 to 795 of the family's 1533-position model. The record is from RNAcentral. Lineage: Bacteria; Bacillati; Actinomycetota; Actinomycetes; Propionibacteriales; Propionibacteriaceae.